RNA transcript from Magnolia sinica, 1918 nucleotides. It is a transcript of the gene named protein root UVB sensitive 4-like, with no coding region annotated. The record is from RefSeq and is a predicted model, not a curated record. NCBI's taxonomy places the organism in Eukaryota, Viridiplantae, Streptophyta, Magnoliopsida, Magnoliales, Magnoliaceae. The transcript is spliced from 7 exons.
CCAGGAAAAACCUAAACCUGUUUUUCCCAACAAAACUAAAUCCUCGUUUAAUCAGUUCCAUCGCAAAACACUUAGAAUCUGAUAAUCACAUUUCAUAUAUUGGAUGGCUAAGAUUGUCAUAUUGAAGUCCUUGAGCACCAUGGUAAUCCAAGGUAGGGCCUAAUUAGUGGAAUGUUCCUAAUCAUACUGAAUCGACGAUCAAUAUCACUUGAUUGGUGUAACAAAAGUCAGUCCAGUAACUUUUUUUAUUUUGUAACUGGGUCAUGGGAAAAAUGGUUCAAACGGUUGGUACAAACAUUAAACCUUCAAAGCAUUUAAGCCAUAUCUACCAAAAGGUAGUUUAUGGAGACACUUUAAGGGUGUGUUUGAAGUAAGUUUGCAUUGAGUAGCAUGGUCAUUGGAUCAAAUGGAAAGUGAUGAGCUCAUUUCUUCAUAAUGAACAAAAGAGCUCACUUGCCAUUUGGAGCCACUUUCAUGUACUUCCUGCAUUCCGGUCAAUGUGAAACAAGUUUCCACACUUUUAAAAAAAAAAAAAAAACUAUUAUUAAUGUUUCCUCUAUUCGCUUUUUUUUUUUUUUGUGGAGUAUCUCCAGAUUCCAUUUGGCAAAGAAUGAUAAGAAUAUGCGAUAUGGGUUUUUUCAUUCUUUCCUAGAUUCUCUUUUAUGGUAUUGUGAUUAUUGAAUCUUUCUUGGGUAUGUUUGGCUGUUUCUGUUUUUUAUUUAAUUCUGUUUCAUUUGGGUUUGAUUUUGUAUUGAUCAUAGAUCAAAUGUUAUCUUCCACUGCUUCAACCAAGUCAAGAUGAGAGGAGCCGAUGGUGCAUUGCCAACUGUUGAGGCCAGGCAUCGGUCGGCGGGACUGCCGUAAGCAUCUUUCUUAUAUUUUUUCACGUUUGAUCUUUCUCCUAAUUUUGUGCCAUUUAGAGCCCAACUGUACUAGAAGAUGGUUGAUGCUGAGGAUAUUCAACCUCUUGUGUGCGAUAAUGGAACUGGAAUGGUUAAGGCGGGUUGCACCGGGAGAGGUGGUCGAGAAGACUGUUGAGAAGAGGCAGAAGAGGAUGAUCAAGAACAAGGAGUCUGCUGCUCGAUCAGGGGCCAGGAAGCAGGCGAUGUUUCGAGCCAUAGGGAUUGGGUCCUCUCGGUCCCUUCCAUUGGCUACUGCAUUGAAUUGGGUGCUGAAGGAUGGGCUUGGACUGCUUAGCCGAUGCAUAUACACUGCUAGCCUUGGAUCUGCAUUCGAUGCCAACUUGAAGAGGGUAAGGUUCUCAAUAUCAAUCUUAUUCAGCUUGAGCAUUGGAGUUGAGUUGCUGACUCCAAUGUUUCCCCAGUAUUUUUUGCUUCUUGCAACUAUAGCCAACAUUUUGAAAUCAAUUAGUCUGGCUGCCUACCUAGCAACCGGUGAAGAAGCCUCCUACGAACAAGAAGCUAUCUAUCAGUAUGAGGAUGAGGAGGAUGACGAUCUGGAUGAUGAAGCUUACUUUGGCAGCUCCUCAAGCUUUCAUAUUGGUAACCGUAGGUAUUUUAUACCUCUUUAGUAUAUUUGUUUAUUCCUAGUGAGAUUUUUGUUUGUUGAUACUAGCACUCUUUCUAGCAUUCAAUCGCUGCAUGCUUGUGCCACAUGUACAAUGUUUAUGUGCAUGCAUACAGGUUGAUAUAUUCUGCUAGCAUCCAGAAACUGACUAUUGGAUUAAAGAACAUUUUCCCCCACUGAAGAUUUGUACCAUUCUUUACGGAUAUCACAAUGAUAUUGAUGUUCCUGUCUUAUUGCAAAGUAGCAAUGAAGAUGCUUUCAGACAAUCGAACAAGCUGUAGUUGUUCAUCAGCCAAGCAAAAGUCAUACCCCGUUGUGACUUUGUAUUAUUUGUGGAACCUAAUAUUGUGUAACAGUUUGAUUGAGUUUGUUUUGAAAACUUUAAAUAGAC